Molecule: long non-coding RNA, 557 nt
Filed under: Gallus gallus (chicken)
Lineage: Eukaryota; Metazoa; Chordata; Aves; Galliformes; Phasianidae
Source: RNAcentral
GGAAAUUUUACCUUAUGGAGCGAUACAUCAUGAAAUCAAUUGUUGUGCAUCUAGGAAAUUUACCAAUAGAGCUCUCUUCCACUGGGGUGUACACUUUGAUUUGUCUCAUAUGAGUGUCUCUUCCAUUUUGGUGAUUAGCUAGAACAGCUAUCUGAAUCAUAAAUGUGCGGAUAGGCUUCUUAUGGGUAUCUGUUAAAGGAACAUGAAUCCAGCCGCUUGGUUCCACUAAUUCAAGUUGCCGCACUUCCUGGAGAUUGUGAAAAUUAUUUCCUACUCUGACAGAGAUUUUGCUUGGAGUGUAGCUUUCAUCAGAUUUGUAGUCUGCAUAAAUACAUAAUGUCUUCACUGUUGUUUUCCUUCUAAAUUGGAUGUUCACCAAAUGAGGCUGUGAUCCAUCUGACUGCCAGUAAGUUUCUAGAUUAUCAUCUCGUAACUGAUCCACUCCAAAUCCUGGUUUACAAGACGAAAGUGACCAAACUGCUUGUGAGCCUAUUUCUCUAACAGUACCCGUCCUCUCUAACUGUUUUGGAUCAGCACCAGGUGGUGUCUUGUUUGGG